ACAGCAGUAGCCGCGGUAAUACAGAGGGUGCGAGCGUUAAUCGGAUUUACUGGGCGUAAAGCGUGCGUAGGCGGCUAAUUGAGUCGGAUGUGAAAUCCCCGAGCUUAACUUGGGAAUUGCAUUCGAUACUGGUUAGCUAGAGUGUGGGAGAGGAUGGUAGAAUUCCAGGUGUAGCGGUGAAAUGCGUAGAGAUCUGGAGGAAUACCGAUGGCGAAGGCAGCCAUCUGGCCUAACACUGACGCUGAGGUACGAAAGCAUGGGGAGCAAACAGGAUUAGAUACCCGAGUAGUCCCUGUCUCUUAUAC
This 305-nucleotide ribosomal RNA is filed under the name uncultured bacterium. RNAcentral's name for it is "partial 16S ribosomal RNA". It matches the Rfam family "Bacterial small subunit ribosomal RNA", at positions 508 to 807 of the family's 1533-position model. The record is from RNAcentral.